AGUGAACGCUGGCGGCAGGCCUAAUACAUGCAAGUCGAACGGCAGCACAGUGGAGCUUGCUCCAUGGGUGGCGAGUGGCGGACGGGUGAGGAAUACAUGGGAAUCUGCCCAGUCGUGGGGGAUAACGUAGGGAAACUUACGCUAAUACCGCAUGCGCCCUUCGGGGGAAAGCCGGGGACCUUCGGGCCUGGCGCGAUUGGAUGAGCCCAUGUUCGAUUAGCUAGUUGGCGGGGUAAAGGCCCACCAAGGCGACGAUCGAUAGCUGGUCUGAGAGGAUGAUCAGCCACACUGGGACUGAGACACGGCCCAGACUCCUACGGGAGGUAGCAGUAGGGAAUAUUGGACAAUGGGCGCAAGCCUGAUCCAGCCAUGCCGCGUGAGUGAAGAAGGCCCUCGGGUUGCAAAGCUCUUUUGUCCGGGAAGAAAAGCAUCGGGCUAAUACCUCGGUGUUCUGACGGUACCGGAAGAAUAAGCACCGGCUAACUUCGUG
This 490-nucleotide ribosomal RNA is filed under the name uncultured bacterium. Its description in RNAcentral is "partial 16S ribosomal RNA". It matches the Rfam family "Bacterial small subunit ribosomal RNA", at positions 29 to 507 of the family's 1533-position model. The record is from RNAcentral.